AUUCCGUGAUGAGGGAAUUUCUAUAAUAAUUCUUUGAAUCUCUCUCAUGCUUCAUACAAAGAUUCAUCAUCCAAUUGUUGGAAAGUAGUGAUCUCUUUUCGCAACU
This 106-nucleotide small nucleolar RNA is filed under the name Gossypium hirsutum (cotton). Its description in RNAcentral is "Plant small nucleolar RNA R71". It matches the Rfam family "Plant small nucleolar RNA R71". Rfam says of the family: R71 is a member of the C/D box family of snoRNAs containing the C (UGAUGA) and D (CUGA) box motifs. Lineage: Eukaryota; Viridiplantae; Streptophyta; Magnoliopsida; Malvales; Malvaceae. The record is from Rfam by way of RNAcentral. RNAcentral also lists the same sequence under 1 other name.